AGAGUUUGAUCCUGGCUCAGAACGAACGCUGGCGGCGUGGAUUAGGCAUGCAAGUCGAACGGGACUUUUAGCUUUUUCGAAAGUCUAGUGGCGAAAGGGUGAGUAACGCGUGGGUAACCUGCCUUUAGGAGAAGAAUAACCCGUCGAAAGAUGGACUAAUACUUCGUAAGCUCAUAAGUUGCAAUACUUAUGAGGAAAGAUAGGGAUCUCUUCGGAGACCUGUCACCUUUAGAUGGGCCCGCGUCCUAUCAGCUUGUUGGUGAGGUAAUGGCUCACCAAGGCUAAGACGGGUAGCUGGUCUGAGAGGAUGGUCAGCCACACUGGGACUGAGACACUGCCCAGACCCCUACGGGAGGCUGCAGUCGAGAAUCUUCCGCAAUGGGGGCAACCCUGACGGAGCGACGCCGCGUGCAUGAUGAAGGCCUUCGGGUUGUAAAAUGCUGUCAGCAGGGAAGAAAAAGUUUCAGUUAAUAGCUGAAACCUUGACGGUACCUGCAGAGGAAGCCACGGCUAACUUCGUGCCAGCAGCCGCGGUAAUACGAAGGUGGCAAGCGUUGUUCGGAUUUAUUGGGCGUAAGGAGUUCGUAGGCGGCUUGAAAAGUCGGAUGUGAAAUUUCAGAGCUCAACUCUGAAACUGCAUUCGAAACUUUCAGGCUAGAGUAUGUGAGGGGUAAAGGGAAUUUCUAGUGUAGGGGUGAAAUCCGUAGAUAUUAGAAAGAACACCAGUCGCGAAGGCGCUUUACUGGCACAUUACUGACGCUGAGGAACGAAAGCUAGGGUAGCGAACGGGAUUAGAUACCCCGGUAGUCCUAGCCGUAAACGAUGUUCACUAGAUGUCGGGAGGGUUAAACCUUUCGGUGUCGCAGCUUACGCAUUAAGUGAACCGCCUGGGGAGUACGACCGCAAGGUUGAAACUCAAAGGAAUUGACGGGGACCCGCACAAACGGUGGAGCAUGUGGUUUAAUACGACGAUACGCGUGGCCCCCCCCCCCAGCCUUUUUUUUUGGGCCCCCCGCCUUAUGAAAGUAGGGCUUUCUCUUCGGAGACUGAUACACAGGUGUUGCAUGGCUGUCGUCAGCUCGUGUCGUGAGAUGUUGGGUUAAGUCCCGCAACGAGCGCAACCCCUAUCCUUUGUUGCUACCACUGUCUUCGGACAGUGCGCACUCUAAGGAGACCGCCGCUGAUAAAGCGGAGGAAGGUGGGGAUGACGUCAAGUCAGUACGGCCCUUACGCCUGGGGCUACACACGUGCUACAAUGGCCGGAACAGAAGGAAGCGAUACCGCGAGGUGGAGCCAAUCCCCAAACCCGGCCUCAGUUCGGAUUGCAGGCUGCAAUUCGCCUGCAUGAAGCUGGAAUCGUUAGUAAUCCCGUAUCAGCCACGACGGGGUGAAUACGUUCCCGGGUCUUGUACACACCGCCCGUCAAGUCACCGAAGUAGGUUGUACCCGAAGUAGGUUACCUAACCGCAAGGAGGGUGUCUGCGAAGGUAUGAUUUGUAACGGGGACUAAGUCGUAACAAGGUA
This 1524-nucleotide ribosomal RNA is filed under the name uncultured deep-sea bacterium. RNAcentral's name for it is "bacterial SSU rRNA". It matches the Rfam family "Bacterial small subunit ribosomal RNA". The record is from RNAcentral.